AUGCGCAGCCGGUGCGUCAACCACGCGAGGAACGUCUGCGACCGCGCCGUCUCGCUCCUCCCCCGCGUCGACCAGCUGUGGCACAAGUACAUCCACAUGGAGGAGCUGCUUGGCGCCAUCGCCAAUGCUCGCCUGCUCUUCGAGCGCUGGAUGGGAUGGCGUCCGGACAUUGCUGCCUGGAGCUCGUACAUCAAAUUUGAGCUGCGGUAUGGGGAGGUUGAACGUGCAAGGGCGAUCUAUGAGCGCUUUGUCACCGAGCACCCACGGCCCGACACGUUCGUCCGAUACGCCAAGUUCGAGAUGAAACAUGGAGGAGUAGAGCGGGCGCGGCGCGUGUAUGAGCAUGCAUCGGAACAGCUUGUGGAUGAUGAAGACGUGGAGGUUGUGUUUGUAGCAUUUGCUGAGUUCGAGGAACAACGCCGGGAGGUGGAGCGGGCUCGUGCGAUAUACAAGUAUGCACUUGACAGAGUGCCGAAGGGCAAGGCUGAGGACCUUUACAGGAAGUUCCUGGCAUUUGAGAAACGAUUUGGUGACCGUGAGGGGAUUGAGGAAGCCAUUGUGGGCAAGCAAAGGUUCCAAUAUGAAGAUGACGUGAGGAAGAACCCCCUCAAUUACGACUCAUGGUUCGAUUACAUCAGGCUGGAGGAGAGCGCUGGUAAUAAGGACAGGAUAAGGGAUGUGUACGAGAGGGCUAUCGCAAACGUUCCCCCUGCACAAGAGAAGCGGUACUGGCAGACAUAUAUAUACCUUUGGAUAAACUAUGCUCUGUAUGAGGAACUUGAUGCACAGGACAUGGAGAGGACCGGGGAGGUCUAUAGGGCGUGUCUGAAACUCAUUCCGCACAAGAAGGUUACAUUUGCGAAGUUGUGGCUGAUGGCUGCGCAGUUUGAGAUAAGACAGAAGAACAUGAAGGCUGCACGCCGGAUUCUCGGCAAUGCAAUAGGUAUGGUGCCCAAGGGGAAAUUAUUCAAGGAGUACAUUGAGAUCGAGCUUCACCUCGGCAGUUUCGACCGCUGUAGAACUCUAUAUGAGAAGUAUAUUGAUUGGUCUCCAGCAAACUGUUAUGCCUGGAGGAAGUAUGCUGAGCUCGAAAAGAACCUUCACGAGGCUGACCGCGCUCGAUCAGUAUAUGAGCUUGGUAUCGCACAGCCAUCCCUUGAUACGCCUGAGGUUCUUUGGAAGGAGUACUUGCAGUUUGAAAUUGAUGAAGGUGAGUUUGGUAGGGCAAGGGAACUCUACGAGAGACUGCUUGAUAGAACAAAGCAUCUGAAGGUAUGGAUCAGCUACGCCGAAUUCGAGGCCUCGGCUGGCUUGGCAGAAGACAAUGGAAGUGAGGAACAGCAGAUCGAGCGGGUCCGGAUGUGUCGAGCUGUCUUUGAAAGGGCAUUCGACUAUUUCAGGACCAAUGCUGCAGAGCUAAAGGAAGAAAGAGCAAUGCUCCUGGAAGAAUGGCUCAAAAAAGAGUUGGGUUUUGGUGAUCUUGGUGAUGUCGCCCUAGUGCAGAAGAAGGCGCCAAGGAAAGUGAAGAGGAAGAGACCACUGCCCACAGACGAUGGCUCCAAAAUUGCGUACGAGGGGUACGUUGAUUAUAUCUUCCCUGAUGAAGUCACGCCGGCGUCGAACCUCAAGAUAUUGGAAGCUGCUUACAAUUGGAAGGAGAGAAGACUGUUUGAUCGACAUGUUGAGUUUCACAAUUAA
Molecule: ribosomal RNA, 1698 nt
Filed under: Triticum aestivum (bread wheat)
Lineage: Eukaryota; Viridiplantae; Streptophyta; Magnoliopsida; Poales; Poaceae
Description: partial small subunit ribosomal RNA
Source: RNAcentral